CACGGGUGGUCAUACACAUAACACACAUAAAGGCAAUGCUCUGGGGCAUUCUGUCUGUGACAAUCCUUUUGGGGCCUUGGUAAAUCUGUGGCCUUACUGAGUCUUACUUUAAGCAAAGGAGGUUGAAGAACGUCAGCCCAUGGUGCGUCCAGGAAGAAGAGGUGACUAGCCAUGGGUGGCCUGCCAGCUGCCUCCCCCAUCCUGCGGCAGAACUUCUUUCAGACUGAGUCACAUCAGAUCAGGCUACAAGUUGACCUGAUCAAGAAAUUCUUCAGACCCUCGUUUAUAUCUUUUGGCUAAGUGAACCUGGAGAAGGAAUUGUAAAUUACGGAAUAAUAGUCAAAGUUUGAAAAGGGGGAUCUGCCAGGUAGGAAAUAAAUUCUCUUUUAAAGAACCCACUUUAUUUGAAAUGAAGGAAAAAACUGAUGGAUGGCUUAAAAGGAAAUGUUUGACUGAAGCCUGCCUGCUGUACCCAUAGCUACCUGCCCACAAGAAUGUGGCUCCCUGGUGACAGCUGCACUAAUUAUAGAAAAACAAGUUGAGUGGAAGAAGACGAAUUAUGUAAAUUUACAUUGACUGAGGAUCCUGUUGGAGCAUUAGGAAUUUUGAUUAUUAAAAAUAAAUCCAAAAUGUUCUUACGUGGCAAAGGAAUUGAACUGAAGGACAAUUUGCUAGAGUCUUAGCAUGAAAUCUGGAUCAGCAAAAAUAACAUUUAUUAACGUUACUGUAAACUACUUGCAGGUAAGAGCCGUUCUGUGGAUUUGAGAGGGAAUCUAAAGUCUGUUUUGGGCUGUAAGUUUACAUUUUGGUUUUUGUUUAUAAAAAAAAUAUGAUACGUACUCCCCAAAUCACAUUUUUUUUCAUAAACUCUUGCUGUUAAAAUAGAAGCCUGAAACUUUCUGUGUUCCAUUUCAAGCAGUUUUCUUAUUCUAAAGUAUAAAUCUAGCUUAAAAGCUUAGGAUUAGAAAACAGUGAAGAAUGGAAAACCACUCAAUCUUCUGAAAGAAAACAUUUUUUUUAUUUGUGUUCAAAGAUGGGCCAUUGAAAUCAAUACCUUAAUAAGGAUGUCAAACAGGAUUCUUUACACAUUCAAAAAUUUGAUAAAGUCAGGUUUAGUGACUGUGUUCAUAAAAGCCAAUGCACCUGGUGGUUAAAAAUUUUGCUUAGUGAAACAUUACUCAACACUUAAUUUAAUAUGCUGUAAUUAAAAAGAAUUUUUUAAUGUUUAUUCGUUUUUGAGAGACAGAGAAAGAGACUGAGCACUAGCAGGG
Felis catus (domestic cat) is the source of this 1271-nucleotide long non-coding RNA. RefSeq lists it as uncharacterized. The transcript is spliced from 3 exons. NCBI's taxonomy places the organism in Eukaryota, Metazoa, Chordata, Mammalia, Carnivora, Felidae. The record is from RefSeq and is a predicted model, not a curated record.